UCUCCGUACUAAAGAAAACCUGCCUCCCUAUGCCUUUAUUCGCACACCCAUCAUCUCUCCUCGCCAAAAAGCACAGAACGGACAGAUGAAAAUACACGGCAAAAUAUUUAGUAUCAUCACUGGAGUGUACGCUGCUGUCAAGGGCUCUCAACAACAUGGAGAUAUAUAAUAUUCCUGCGAUAUGGCAUAAUCCUUUCAUCAGUGUGCAUUUCUUUCAGAAAAAUGAAUUAAUCGGCGUUGUCGGCAGAAAGAAAUAACCCUAUCCGGCAAGUAACGUUAACUCCCUCGUUCUAUAUGGAUAUUAUGAAACAACUAACUGUAUUUCACACAGAUGACACAUUUACAGUUCUUCCGAGAUAGACAGUCAGCUGAAGUGAACACAACAAAGAUGAAUCCCUUAUAGAGGAGCUCCCUAGCUUGCAAAGGAUCAAGGCGCAGAGAUAUUCCACAUACUAGAGAUGCUUCCAAUACAAUCUCAACUCUUGGCCAGAUCGCAAUACCACAAAAUAGGCUUUAUUUUCAUCGACAUGCACAUCUCAGCUCCUCCCAGCAGACUCGAGUAUUGGGAUGAUGAUGCUGUGUAAUGGGACCCACAGCAUCCAUGGACAGCAUCUUGCUCAGUGUCUCCAGAUAGGAAGCUGGCAGGACAUGUGUGACUUUGUGGCCGAGAUGCAUCUUUUAAUCGCUUACUCUUAUUAUUAACAGACAACAUUAUAACACCUAUUUAUACAUCGAAAGAGUGACUUCAAACAUGAUUAAAGCCAUAUUGCAUGUCUAUACACUUUCUUAAGCACGAAUAGGUACAUUUUAAAAUCUUUUAUCAUUGGUUACUAUUUUUAUGAAAAUUUUUGAAUCCAUCAUGUUUGCGGACUUAAUGGGAAGUGUUAUUGAAUAUUGUGUGGUAAGCUUUCUAGAGGUGAUUUAUGAAUCAAGGCUGGAAUAACUAGAAAUUUGUUGAAUAUUUACAAAAGUUUGGCAGAUAAUAUUUCCUAUUAACCUUUUGAUGAGUAAAUUAUUGAUGAGAGCACAUCAUGGCACAUUAGUCUCAUGGCAACUGCUGUUUAUGGGGUCCAAUUAACAUGCAGGUGUUCUCCCUAUUUAUUUAAUCUGUGAUUGGAGUAUAUCUUGUUAAUUGCACUUAUUGUAAUACAGUCCAUUCUUAAAGAAAUAUCAGAUUUGUUUAUUG
Molecule: long non-coding RNA, 1186 nt
Organism: Cyprinus carpio carpio
Lineage: Eukaryota; Metazoa; Chordata; Actinopteri; Cypriniformes; Cyprinidae
Source: Ensembl